GGAAUAUUGGACAAUGGGCGCAAGCCUGAUCCAGCCAUGCCGCGUGCAGGAUGACGGUCCUAUGGAUUGUAAACUGCUUUUAUACAGGAAGAAACACCUCUACGUGUAGAGACUUGACGGUACUGUAAGAAUAAGGAUCGGCUAACUCCGUGCCAGCAGCCGCGGUAAUACGGAGGAUCCAAGCGUUAUCCGGAAUCAUUGGGUUUAAAGGGUCCGUAGGCGGUCAGGUAAGUCAGUGGUGAAAGCCCAUCGCUCAACGGUGGAACGGCCAUUGAUACUGUCUGACUUGAAUUAUUAGGAAGUAACCAGAAUAUGUAGUGUAGCGGUGAAAUGCUUAGAGAUUACAUGGAAUACCAAUUGCGAAGGCAGGUUACUACUAAUUGAUUGACGCUGAUGGACGAAAGCGUGGGUAGCGAACAGGAUUAGAUACCCUGGUAGUCCACGCCGUAAACGAUGGAUACUAGCUGUUGGGAGCAAUCUCAGUGGCUAAGCGAAAGUGAUAAGUAUCCCACCUGGGGAGUACGAACGCAAGUUUGAAACUCAAAGGAAUUGACGGACUUCUAGAAGUCUCUCCAUUUCCCCGG
This 584-nucleotide ribosomal RNA is filed under the name uncultured bacterium. Its description in RNAcentral is "bacterial SSU rRNA". It matches the Rfam family "Bacterial small subunit ribosomal RNA", at positions 358 to 1396 of the family's 1533-position model. The record is from RNAcentral.